RNAcentral lists this ribosomal RNA (279 nucleotides) under uncultured bacterium. Its description in RNAcentral is "partial 16S ribosomal RNA". It matches the Rfam family "Bacterial small subunit ribosomal RNA", at positions 506 to 784 of the family's 1533-position model. The record is from RNAcentral.
UGCCAGCAGCCGCGGUAAUACGGAGGGUGCAAGCGUUGCUCGGAAUCACUGGGCGUAAAGCGUACGCAGGCGGUUCAUUAAGUCGGGUGUGAAAGCCCAGGGCUCAACCCUGGAACUGCGCCCGAUACUGGUGGACUUGAAUACGAGAGAGGCAAGCGGAAUUCCUGGUGGAGAGGUGAAAUUCGUAGAUAUCAGGAGGAACACCAGUGGCGAAAGCGGCUUGCUGGCUCGAUAUUGACGCUCAGGUACGAAAGCGUGGGGAGCAAACAGGAUUAGAUA